Molecule: long non-coding RNA, 4081 nt
Filed under: Marmota monax (woodchuck)
Lineage: Eukaryota; Metazoa; Chordata; Mammalia; Rodentia; Sciuridae
Source: RNAcentral
CCUGUCACCUGCCAGUGUGCCCCCAGCCGCUCUCCUGCCCGCCCGCUUCCUGCCUUCGCUCCCCCACGGUGGGCCCCGCACCCCCGCACCCCUAAGCCCUGCCCGGCCCCCGUGAGGAAGCAAGAGGCACAGCCCGGAGCCCCGGCCUCCUGUCAACCCGCCGCCCGGGGAGACUGGGGUGGGCUCCGGCCCGGCACCGGCGCCCGUCUCCUCCGACAGCUGAGCUAGGCCUCGUCUGGCCUCCCAAACGACCCCCUCCCCGACGUCCCAGGCCAUUGGACCCCCGGCUCUGCCUUUCUCCUCCUGCCCUGUCCACGUGUUGGCGUCGGGGGCUGGACCUCCGGAGGGGAGGGUGACACCUUCCUCCGGGCCUGGGAGGAGGGAGCGAGCUGGUCACGGGCACCUCCCCUUGCGGCGACGCGGUAAGGAGAGAAGGAAGUCCCUUCUCGCGGAGCUCUCAUUGCAGCCGGCGACAGACAAGAAACAGGACAGCGGCAAACAGUGACGACGCCCGGCGGGGACAGGCGUCGUGAAGGAAGCAGCAGAGGAAGCUGAGACGGGCUGGCGGCGGAGGGGAGACCGGACGGAGACCACCCCGAGCUCCAGCUCCGCAAAGGGACCGCGCUGCGAGCGGCCGCACUGCCAAGGACAAAGGCCCUGAGGGGGGAAGAGCUGGGGGGCUCCAGGGACCCCUCCGGGCGGGCCGGGGUGACCUGCCGGAGGCGGAGCGCGGCCCGGGCCGUGAGCCGAGAACCCGCGUGGCCCGGACCCGGACGCGCCCUCUGGCGGCCGUGCGAGGAUCGACCAGGUGGCUCCGCUGCAGGGUCCCGAGCCGAGCUGGCGGCGGAAGGUGUAUAUUUCGUAGCGUCUAAACGAUUUGCUGAUGGAUCUAGAACGAUUCCAGGCUCAUUCUUGACAACUUGACAAAUGCAGGUGUCACUUAACCAGGAGCCGGUGACGGUGAUGGAGGGGGGUCUUGGAAUCGAGGUUCCAUCCUGGACAUGGGGUUGAGAAGCCUGUGAGGUAGCAGAGCAUUUGCUAUGAACUGAAUGUUUAUGUUCCAAAAAUUCACCUUGAAACCUGGCCCCCAAGGGGACGGUAUUUGGAGGAGGGGCUUUGGGAAGUGAUCAGGUCACCAGGAUGUGAAUGGAGCCCUCAGAACAGAAUUGGUGCUGGUAUAAAGAGCACCACAGGGUACACUGACAGAAGAGAGCCAUCCCUCGCAGACAGACUCGCCAACACCCUGAUCUUGGACUUCCAGCCCCCAGAACAGCGAGAAGUGAAUUUCUGUUUUUUCCAUUUUGUCAUAGCAGCCUGAACGGACUAAUACAGUGUUGACUGGUUGAUGGAUUGACUGAUUGAAAUGGCAUAAUAUUUGGGAUUUAUUUUACCCCAGCUCUAUUAAGGUACUGACAAAUUAAAAUAGUAUCUAGUUUCAGAGGACGCUAUGAAGUUUUGCUAUAUGUACACACAGUGAGGUGAAAAAUUCAAGCUCAUUAACAUACCAGUCACCUCAUAUUUAGUUCUUUGAUGAUCUAAUCCCUUAGCAAUUUUCAAAUACACAUUUAUAGAAACAUAGUUGCCGUAUGUAUAAUAUAUCCCCAGCCCUCCUCCAGCCUGUCUAAGGGACUUGGUACCAUCCUGGACCACUAUUUCCCCUCCCUCCCCCACUCAGCCCCUGGAAGCCACCUUCUACUUUUUUCCUGUGAGUUCAACUCUUUUCUUCUCUAGAUUCCACAGGUACAAUCACGGGGUUCUCAUCCUGGCUUAUUUCACUUGACCCAAUGUCCUCCAGGUUGAUCCACAUGUUGCAAAGGACAGAUGUCUUUCUUUUUUUAAGGCUGAAUAGUAUUCCACUGUGCACUAUGGACCACAUUCUCUUCCUUCAGUCUUCAGUGGAUGGCCACUUAGGUUACUGCCACAUCUUGGCCACGGUGGACAGUGCAGCUGUGACCACGGGGGGGCAGAUGUCUCUCUGACAUACUGAUGUCAUUUUCUUUAGGAUACAACCCAGGUGUGGAAUUGCUGCAUCACAUGGGAAUUCUAUUUUCAAUUUGAGGAACCUCCAUACUAUUUCCUGUGACAGCUGUACCAGUUCACACUCCCACCAACAGUGCCCAAGGCUCCCCUUUCCUCCACAUCCUUCAGCCCAUUUGUUACAUUGUAUCAAUUUAGUAAUCGCCAUUCUAAUAGGUGAAGGGCUCUCCCAUUGUGCUCAACCACUGAGCCGUGUCCCCAGCCCCUUUUUGUAUUUUAUUUAGAGACAGGGUCUCCUUGAGUUGCUUAGAGCCUGUUGCUGAGGCUGGCUUUGAACUGGAGAUCCUCCUGCCUCAGCCUCCUGAGCCCCUGGGAUGACAGGCGGGCGCCCCCGCGGCGGCCUGUCUAUUCAGUCUUUCUCCUCUGCGGCUGGACUGUGAGGCUUGUAUAUGUGGAUAUUAACCCCGGGUUUGCAGCACCCUCUCCUGUUCCACAGGUGGCCUCUCUGUCGGCUCUUCCCUUUGCCUGCUCAGACCAAGGCCGCAAGCCUUCCUCCUGUUUUCUUCCAGCGGCUUUCCACAUUUAAGUCUGCCAUCCACUGGAGCCCAUUGUUGUGCAUCACCAGAGGUGAGUUCCCGUGUCACCUGCAUGUGGAGACCAGCUUCCCAAUCACUGAAGAGACCCUGUCCUGUGUUGUUGGCAACUUUGUUGAAAACCAAUUAACUGCAAAUGCACGGACUUACUCCCAGGCCCCCGCUGUGCUCUGUUGGCCCUUGGGUGGGGUUUUAAGGCCAUGCUUCCGUGACAGUGGCUCUGCAGGGUGUGGAAGUCAGGUAGGCUGAGGCCUCCAGCUUGGCUCGUGCUGCUCAGAACUGCUCUGGCUGAUUGGGAGGUGGUGGGCCCUUGAGAAGUGAGGCUUUGUGGGAGGUUUUAGAUGUGGAUUAAAAGGGAUGGUGGGACCCCAGCCCCCAUCAAAGCCCCAAAGUAAUGAAACCACCUGAUCUUGGACUGGAAUCUCCAGAACUGGAAGCCAAACCAAACCUUUUCUUUUCAUAAAUUGAUUGCCUCAGGUAUUUUGUUAUAGUUACACAAACCUCACUAAAUACAGUCACCGAGGGAAGGAAUGGCAGCCUGAGAGGCUGGAGGGCUGAAGAUGCUGGCCCUGUGGCCUCCCGCAGGCUGCCUCUCUCUGUGCCUUGAGCUGGCUGUCCAGGGCCUUCCUAAUACAACCAGCCCCCACAUACCAGACCUGAGGCCCUGCGAAGGCAGGAGGCAGGAUGCUUCCUGCUGCACACCUGUUGCCCAGAGUUUGAAACGUCUGGAAGUAUAUCCAUGUCUCCUCCAGACUUCCCAGCCCUGCCCUCAGCCCCCCACCUUACCCAGCUUACUGGCCACACACCCAGGUCCACCCUUCCCGGCCCUUCCUCUCCACCCCCAGCCAGGAGCCCAUUCCCAGGUCACCCUUCCUGCACCAGUCACCCAGCGCACCCUUCCUGCUUACUUCUUUGCCUGCCCAACCACAGGCUGACUGGUCCCUGCCCUGGAAUCCAGACCUGCAGACUCCCCGCGCACCCGGGCUGCCUGCCCACGUGGCUGGAGGAAGUACCGCGGCCACCUCCCCCUUCCGCCUCGGCAAGGCCCUCGCUGACCCCCAGGGGGCGCUCUCCCACCCCGCCCACCGGUUCCCUCCUGCAGAGCAGACGGGCUCCCUCCGUCCAAACCCUUCCCAGGAGCCUCCAGCUUCCUUCCUCUCCCACUCAGGGCCGAGCAGGCUGGGUUCACAUCCGCCGCCUCCUCUCACCGGCUGUGGGGCCACAACAAGCGGCUUCACCUCUCACCUGCGCUGACCGCGGCACCUCCCCAAGGAGCUGAGAUGACGUGGGACACCCAGAAGGAGCCCGGCAAGUCCCAGGCGCUUGCGAACGGCCAGGCUGCCGUUGGCCUGAGUCUCUUUUCCCUUUUCAUCUUUAAUCUCUCUCCCCUUCUCUAGGGGGCUGCUCUGCUCUUUCUCCAAUAUCUUCGACUUUUUUUGGGGGGGGCUGCCCCUCACACACAGGCUCUCCCAUUGCCUUAGCCCUUUUCUGUUACUAUAAUGAAAUAACUG